Nematostella vectensis (starlet sea anemone) is the source of this 1365-nucleotide long non-coding RNA. RefSeq lists it as uncharacterized. The transcript is spliced from 4 exons. The record is from RefSeq and is a predicted model, not a curated record. NCBI's taxonomy places the organism in Eukaryota, Metazoa, Cnidaria, Anthozoa, Actiniaria, Edwardsiidae.
CAGUGCCUGAUCAGGAGUUGUGAGAGAAUGGAGACGAAUCUCCGGGCAACAGCCAAUCGGAACGCAGGAUUUGUAUUCAAUGUUGGGUUCGCGCUAAGUUCAAAUGCAUAGACCGUGACUCGUGAGCGACUUAAACUAUAAAGCAAGCAAGAACAACUAUUUUUUUACGCUUCGGUUCUCUGAAAAACCUUCAAAAUAAAAAGGGGAUCUUCAUGGUACCUUAAGUCCUGCUUGCAAAAUGGACACAGGAAACGACGGAUCAGGUUUGGAGCUCAGCCACAUGCGAAACUGCGGGUCUAGUUGAGUCUCGGAGUGAGAUAUCCUAAAACGACAACAAUGACAUAUGAGAGUCAGGAUGGGAUAUCUUUUUUUCUUCAGGAAUACCUCUUGCCUUUGGUCCCAAGGUCAACGCAGAUGAUUCAGGACUUACCUUCUGAUAAUUUGCUGUAGCCUGGGCAUGAAGGAGGCCGCGUGCUGGCAGUUCUGCAGGAAUACCCACUUGCCCUUCUGUUGAUAUGCCUUGUUGAUUACCUCCUCGGCUCGAGGUCCCUGGCCACGCCCUAAUGAGAUCAUGUCAAGAUGUAGGGUUGUGCCCCUCAACUCGUGGGCGAAGCGAAGAAGCUGAGACGCGGGAUCGGAGCCUGUUGGACAAAAGAAGAGAGGCAGUAAGAUAAGGCAUUUUAGAUCGUUGUAAUGUUUGUUGAAGACUCAACAACGUGAGCGAAAACGAUGUUCAACGUGGUCACAGAGUGCUACCUACGGCUAAGCCAACUUGUUGCGUAUUUUACCCGGAAGGAUUUUCGACUGGUAGAUAAAUUAAAGCAUUGCAUUACAUAUUAAGCCGGGUUUUUACUAGGGAAAAAACGGAGAGCGUAAGAGCUUACGCGCGUGUGAAAAUCAAACAGAAUGGAGAAAAUGCAAUGCUAAUUUGGCCAUGUUUUGGCCAACAAAUUUUUGUCUUUUAUAGUUGUCAAUAAAGCUUCUCUGCACCGCGCAUGCAGUUUCUUAGAGUCCACCACAUUCUGAAGAUCCAAAUUAUGCUGUUGGGGCUGGAACAUAAAUUUUGCAUAAAAUGUUUACCUGGCGAAAGUAUGAAAAUGAGAGGCGUGCGCGCAUUGGAUUCGUCGUACAUCUCCUGCAAGUCGAAACCAACUGUUGUGAUAAACUUGGUUCCCAUCUCUUCCUCCACGAACUGGCGUACGGACUUGAUAAGACAUUCAGGGCGCAAGAUCUUCACAAGCAUCAGACGUUGGAAUCGGGUUAGCGACGUGCACAGCCAACCUACGCUAGAGCAUCAAGAGGAUCAUCCUCCUUGUCGAUAUCAAUCCUGUCAGAUAUGGCAGCCACAGUAGACCCCCUCAGAAA